CCUACGGGAGGCAGCAGUGAGGAAUAUUGGUCAAUGGUCGGGAUACUGAACCAGCCAAGCCGCGUGAGGGAUGAAGGUACAGAGUAUCGUAAACCUCUUUUGUCAGGGAACAAAGGCGGGGACGUGUCCCCGGAUGAGUGUACCUGAAGAAAAAGCAUCGGCUAACUCCGUGCCAGCACCCGCGGUAAUACGGAGGAUGCGAGCGUUAUCCGGUUUUAUUGGGUUUAAAGGGUUCGCAGGGGGUCUGUUAAGUCAGCGUUCAAAGCCCGGGGCUCAACCCCGGCACGCCGUUGAAACUGGCAGUCUCGAGUUGGAGAGAAGUAUGCGGAAUGCGCGGUGUAGCGGUGAAAUGCAUAGAUAGCGCGCAGAACUCCGAUUGAGAAGGCAGCAUGCCGGCUCCACACUGACGCUGAGGCACGAAAGCGUGGGUAUCGAACAGGAUUAGAUACCCCUGUAGUC
Molecule: ribosomal RNA, 459 nt
Filed under: uncultured bacterium
Lineage: Bacteria
Description: partial 16S ribosomal RNA
Rfam family: Bacterial small subunit ribosomal RNA
Source: RNAcentral